GCGCUGUGCGAGGAGAAGCCCAGCCCAGCACCCCUCUCUGACCAGCAUGGCCUUCACAGGGCGCUGCCGGGCACGUCUCCCUUCCCUCUCUGGCCAACAGGCAAGAAUCCAAGAUGACAUAUUCUACGGAAGCCUUCCUGCAGAGCUGUCAUCAGGAGUGAUCCAGCCCUUUUCCGGAGUGUCACGGUUUAUAAGUCAAUAAAGCGUCUGUGACUUUCCAAUCGC
Aquila chrysaetos chrysaetos is the source of this 225-nucleotide long non-coding RNA. RefSeq lists it as uncharacterized. The record is from RefSeq and is a predicted model, not a curated record. The transcript is spliced from 2 exons. Lineage: Eukaryota; Metazoa; Chordata; Aves; Accipitriformes; Accipitridae.